Molecule: long non-coding RNA, 387 nt
Filed under: Monodelphis domestica (gray short-tailed opossum)
Lineage: Eukaryota; Metazoa; Chordata; Mammalia; Didelphimorphia; Didelphidae
Description: lncRNA (ENSMODG00000039096.1)
Source: RNAcentral
ACUUUUAAGUUUAACUUACAUUACUAACCAUUUCUCCAUCACUUUUUUAAACAGAUCAUCAACAAAGCAAUAAAUCAAGUGCUGGUUUGCCGUGUUCAUCUGUUUUCAAGAUGUACAUGCUGACACUAAAAAUUUAACAAGUGACUCUUCAGAUCUGAUUAUGGUGUUCUAGGAAAAUGACCAAAUAAAAAGUUCUGGCCAUAUCUAAUCCUCUCCCACUUCUCCUCAAAUAUAAGAUGGAUGGAAGAAAUCAGACACAUAAUCUUCUCCAAAACCUCCAUUUUAUAAAUGUGGAAACUGAGGCUCAGAAUGACUUGAUCAAAAUCAAACAGGUAGUAAGUAGUAACAAAAUUGGAACUCAGAUUAUUGAAGGGUAUCAGAAAGCAA